This 253-nucleotide ribosomal RNA is filed under the name uncultured bacterium. RNAcentral's name for it is "partial 16S ribosomal RNA". It matches the Rfam family "Bacterial small subunit ribosomal RNA", at positions 524 to 776 of the family's 1533-position model. The record is from RNAcentral.
UACGUAGGGUGCAAGCGUUGUCCGGAAUUAUUGGGCGUAAAGAGCUCGUAGGCGGUCUGUCGCGUCUGCUGUGAAAACCUAGGGCUUAACUCUGGGCGUGCAGUGGGUACGGGCAGGCUAGAGUGCGGUAGGGGAGACUGGAAUUCCUGGUGUAGCGGUGAAAUGCGCAGAUAUCAGGAGGAACACCGGUGGCGAAGGCGGGUCUCUGGGCCGUAACUGACGCUGAAGAGCGAAAGCAUGGGGAGCGAACAGG